RNAcentral lists this ribosomal RNA (253 nucleotides) under uncultured bacterium. RNAcentral's name for it is "partial 16S ribosomal RNA". It matches the Rfam family "Bacterial small subunit ribosomal RNA", at positions 524 to 776 of the family's 1533-position model. The record is from RNAcentral.
UACGGAGGGUGCAAGCGUUAUCCGGAUUCACUGGGUUUAAAGGGUGCGUAGGCGGGUUGGUAAGUCCGUGGUGAGAUCUCCGAGCUUAACUCGGAAACUGCCGUGGAUACUAUCAAUCUUGAAUAUCGUGGAGGUAAGCGGAAUAUGUCAUGUAGCGGUGAAAUGCUUAGAGAUGACAUAGAACACCAAUUGCGUAGGCAGCUUACUACACGAUCAUUGACGCUGAGGCACGAAAGCGUGGGGAGCAAACAGG